This 2143-nucleotide long non-coding RNA is filed under the name Brassica napus (rape). RNAcentral's name for it is "long non-coding RNA (BNAP_LNC000094)". The record is from RNAcentral. Lineage: Eukaryota; Viridiplantae; Streptophyta; Magnoliopsida; Brassicales; Brassicaceae.
CCUCUUAUCAGAUCUGUUCUGGACAAUGUUCCCGUGGGUUUACAGGGAGCCAGGCAUAAUGCUCAUCAGUACUACGGGCUAUCAUCUUCUGAUCUCCACCAUUACUACUUAAACCGACCUCAUCCUCCUCCAUCAUCAACUCUCUCUGUUCCUCCACCUCUAGGGUUUCGAAACAUCGAUAGCAAAAACGAGAAAGGGUUCUGUUUCUUGACCAUGGGGACAUCACCGUGUAAUGAUACAGAAUCUAAGAAGUCACACAUCGUGUUGUUCGGAAAGCUCAUACUACCCGAGGAGCAGAAAGGGUCAGAGAAGACGCAGCUUUCAUCAGGCGGAUCGAACCAGAACUGUGUUGUGGGUUCUUCAUCAGAAGAAGGAUCACCUUGCUCCAAAAAAGCUCAUGAUGGAUUGGGUUUGGAGACGGGGCAUUGUAAAGUGUUUAUGGAGUCGGACGAUGUUGGUCGGACGUUAGACCUGUCGGUUCUUGGCUCGUACGAAGAGUUGGGUAUGAAGCUCUCUGACAUGUUUGGUAUUCAAAAGUCUGAGAUGUUGAGCUCUGUUCUCUAUAGGGAUGCAUCAGGAGCAGUCAAGUACCCAGGAAACGAACCUUUCAGGUAAAAACAAGAAGCAGAGUUUUGUAUAUAAAUGUCCUAAUCUGUGGAGAUUGAGUUAAGCAUCUGAUUAGUAAAUAAAUGUUUGCAGUGAGUUCUUGAAGACAGCUCGGAGAUUGACGAUUCUGUCUGAGCAAGGAAGCGAGAGCGUUGUGGUAUAAGAAUGAAUCAGUGUGUUUUCUUGGAGCUUGGAAGUCAAAGCUUGAAGUUUCUGUUUAUUUUUCUUUGUUUAAAAAUAUUUAUUUUGGUUCCAUUAUUUUGGUUUAUGUAAUUUACGAAAUAUACAGUCAUUCUAUUUGCAAAUAAAAUAGAUUCAUCUUUUCUUGAUAUGAUGUCACUUUAUUUACAAAAUCUAAAGCUAAUGAUUAUAGCUUGGUAAAACUAAAACCUAGAGACUCAAGCUAAUCUUUGUAUUGCUUUUCUUUUUGAUUCCCUUGUCUACCUUUGGAUUGCAAGAUCUGGUGAACCUUGGUUUAAUAUAGUUGAAUAGUUAGAUUGCUGAUUGUAGUUGAUACUUGUAUAUGCAUUUAACUUGUAAGUUGGAAGUAGUGUACAAAGAAGAUAAUCAAUAUAAGAGAUUAUUUUGAAGCUCUCUUGUUUCUCUCAUCUUCUUCCUCUUGUAGAUUCGUUUUACAUAGGAGCCUCAUAUAGUAUCUUACUGAAGUAAACGUUGGUUGCAUGGCUUAGUCUACAGGUUCAUGUGUUCAGGUAACCCCUUCCGCAAGUUGCCUUAUUUUCAAAAAUUAGAUAAAUUGCUUAAAAUAUUAUUAAAAAUACAUUCAUCAAAAAUCUAUUAAUAUUUGGGUUUAAGGUUUGGUGAGUAUUGUUUAGAGUUUAAUAUCUAAGGGGUGGGACUGGGUUUAUAAAUUUCUAUAAAUAAUUUUUAAACAUUUUUAAAUGAUUUAGAAUGGUUAGUUUAGUUUUUUUUAUCACAAAUUCAAGGUAUUUAUGAAAAUUUUCAUCCUUUAAAGUUAAAUUUGAAAAAUGAUAUUAAAUUUAAAGUUAAAUUAGAAUUUCCCUGUAUUCUUUACUUGUAAUCCAAGAAAGGCUCAAGGUUGCAUUUUGUGUGUUUCAGGUGGCGUGGGAUGAGCCGGAUCUACUCCAAAACGUGAAGCGGGUUAACCCGUGGUUGGUCGAGUUGGUAUCCAACGUACAUCCGAUAAUCCCUUCGUUUUCGCCACCUAGGAAAAAGAUGAGGCUACCUCAGCAUCCGGAUUACAACACUCGGAUCUCAGUACCUUCAUUCGCAAGCAACCCUCUUAUCAGAUCUGUUCUGGACAAUGUUCCCGUGGGUUUACAGGGAGCCAGGCAUAAUGCUCAUCAGUACUACGGGCUAUCAUCUUCUGAUCUCCACCAUUACUACUUAAACCGACCUCAUCCUCCUCCAUCAUCAACUCUCUCUGUUCCUCCACCUCUAGGGUUUCGAAACAUCGAUAGCAAAAACGAGAAAGGGUUCUGUUUCUUGACCAUGGGGACAUCACCGUGUAAUGAUACAGAAUCUAAGAAGUCACACAUCGUGUUGUUCGGAAAGCUCA